UGUGUGGCUAACGUUUUGGGCAAUUGAGAACAGAGCAAAUCUCAGACAUUAGCUUCCCAAAGCCUGGCUGACCUUCAGGUUCUCCUGUUUUUACAGCCACCGCAGUGAUCUGCGGGGAACAUGGAGGGCUGGGGAGCCAGCGUGGUCUCGGCCCUGUUGGGGAGCAGAUAAGCAGGCAGCAGGCAGUGUAGUUAGCAGGUCAUCACUUUGAUUUGUGUGUCCUCUAGUUUAUCUGCUCAUUUUCAUUUCUGAAGUUGUUUCAGGGCACAUAUUUUGUGCCUGCAGCAAUAAUAAAAUGUAGACUUAAGUGGCUCAAACAUCAGAAACUUAUUUUCUUCUAGUUAUGGAGGCUAGAAGCCCAAGGUCAAGGUUCAAGCCAAUUCAUUUUUCUGGUAAGUGCUCUUUCCUUCUGCUGUGGCCUUUUCUUUAGGGCAGGCACAGAGAGAGAAAGAACUAACUCUUUGGUGUCUUUUCUUAGAAGGGCACUAAUCUUAUCAGAUUAGGGCCCCACCCUUACAAUGUCAUUAAACCUUAAUUACUUCCUUAGAGCUCCCAUCUCCACAGAGGCACACUGUGAGAUAAGAGCUUCAACAUAUGAAAUUUGGAGGUAUACAAACAUUCAGUCUAUAACAGGGCAAACACAGUCUAAAAGGGCAAUUUUCGGCAGAAAAUUCACCCAAAUUGGAGCUAAAGGAGCAGACUUAGUAAAAUCUAAUAACUUAGCAUUAUUCCCUCUAAUAUGCUUCCUUGUCAAUCAAGUUGGGCUGAUUAGAGACUUCAGCUUUCUGAAAAACCAGAGAAAACUCUAAAAUUCUGUCAUCCUAACCAAGUACUCUACCCUCCCCUUCAUUAGCAGUAACAGAGUUACAUCCAAUUACUGUCUUUAGAGAUUUUGAAACCCUUUAUCUAAAAGGUUUUACAAAAAAUAUAUAUAGAGAAGACUAACCUGAGGAUAUUUUCUUUUUAAACUAAGGAAAUAUUUUGAUUUCAUUGUAAAACUGACCCAUAGCCCCAAAAGAAAGUUGGGAAAACGUAAAAACAGUACCGAGAGAAAAAUGGAAAGGUGCUCACUGAAAAACAUCUGUCCUCAAUAAAAUCGAAGAGGAGAAUUAAGAAGUGCUAAAGAAUUUCUUCUCACUGAAAAUGUGGAAUAGUUGUUUUGAAACAUUUUGGUCUCCAAACUUGAGGAAAUAAUGUUUUUUUAUAAUGAGUCAACACUGAUGUAAUAUAAUUCUGUCCUAAAGUAAUUUGUUGGUCUGCUGAAUUGUAUGGUUCAUCUUUUGAGUUAAAAUAUUCCUCACACCUCUGUCCAAUAACAACUCUCAUUUUCUGAGCACUUGUUUUAUACAUCUCAUUUUAUUCCCCUAACCUCCCUUCGAGUUAAAUACCAUUAUUUCCCCAACUUUGCAAAUGAGGAGACUGAUCAUUUAAAAGACAGAGUAACUCUUUGAAUGUGGCAGAACUGGUAUUGGAACCACUGAUUCUAAUGGUAAAGCUCUCCCCCAGCUCUUCAUUGCUCAGUGCUUCCAGAGACUCAAAGGCUCUGGAGAGAGUGGUGUGUGUGUGUGUGUGCGUGUGUGUGUGUGUGUGUGUGUGUACCUGCAGCUGUGUGUCUUAACUUUCCCUAAUCUGGUUCUAGCUUCUAUGAUACAAAGAAAAUUACAAUAAAAUGAUGAUCACUACCAAGAGGCUGAACUGAACAGGUGGCCACUCCAAACUCUACGUUAUUACCCAUCCCAACAGCUGCACAGCACAAUGGGAGCUUUUCUCGGAGGAUUCCAUGGAGAGAGAGAGAGAGAGAGAGAGAGAGAGAAAGAGAAAUUAAGGGUGUUGUCCACAAGAUGAACUAUCAACUAAAGAGCAAUUUUAGCUCACUUUGCCUUUUAGGUCUGAAAACAUAACUCCAAGUAUUAGCACUAAUAUAUCGUAUUUUAAUCUCA
Pipistrellus kuhlii (Kuhl's pipistrelle) is the source of this 1940-nucleotide long non-coding RNA. RefSeq lists it as uncharacterized. The record is from RefSeq and is a predicted model, not a curated record. NCBI's taxonomy places the organism in Eukaryota, Metazoa, Chordata, Mammalia, Chiroptera, Vespertilionidae. The transcript has 2 exons.